Molecule: long non-coding RNA, 1921 nt
Organism: Gopherus agassizii (Agassiz's desert tortoise)
Lineage: Eukaryota; Metazoa; Chordata; Testudines; Testudinidae
Source: Ensembl
ACAAAAAACAUAAACUGCAGUAAAAUAAAAGUCAUUUAAAAUUGAAUUAAAAAGCAAGAUCCUGUAGAAGAUAGCAUGGCAAUAUUAUCUAUUUAGAAUCACUAAACACAGGCAUAAAUCAAUACUUUGUAUCUCCAUGUUGGAGGGGCUUCCCACUCUUCAUUCUUGUGUUAUCUGUUUGGCGCUGUCCAUAAACUGUCUGUUUCUGGAGUCAAGCCAACCAGAUGCUCAUUGUAACUUAAAGGAAAAAAAUAGUUGUCUGUCUCUUUUUCAGUAACUAAUGGCAUAUUGUGAUUAAACCAUUUUUCAUUAGCUCAUUGUUCUGUUUCCCAGAUUUUAGCCAUAAUAAUUUGCAUGAAGGGAUCUUGUGAUGUGACAGGUAAAAGUUCUAAAUACAUAAAUUCCUUAUAACUAUUACUUUUCCAGGCAAUGCCAUCUCUGUCUGAAAAGCUGAACUAUCCAGAGAAGGCAUUUUUAGAUCUGUGUGUUCUACUUUCCCCUCUUGGGGUGUGUGGGGGAGGGAGGGUUGUGUUUUUUAAUGCUCUGUUAAGGCUUAGAAAGGGAGGACUAUAAAGAAUUUUGUGACCUGCUGUUUGAGAGCACGUGUACACACGUGUGUGUGUGUGUGUAUAUAUACACAAGAAAUAUAUGUGUGUACACGUGUAUGUGUACACACACACACACUGCUAAAACGUGGGGUUUUGGAUCCAUGCACGGUCCCGUGUUAACGCAGGGACCGCAUUACCAUGGAUUCCAAUGAUGGUAAUUAAAUUUGGGAUCCAUCCGCUGUCCCGCGCUAUAACCAAAUUUGCGCUAUAUGGACGCACAUUCUAGCAAGGGUCAGCUGUGUGUGGGAGGGAGAAUCACAAAUCAUGAUUUCAUGCUUAAGUAUAAUAAUCCUCCUUCUAGUUUCUUGAAGUCCUUAGUGAACAGCAGUCACUACUCAUUUAAAAGUGAAAUUCAAAUGGGUUGGAAUAUCAAAUCAUUAUUUUCUAGCAUUCAAAUAGUCCUUGACAUUUUUGCUCAUUUUUCAGCUUAUUUUCCCCAAACAGUGUAAAUAGUUAUCUUCAGUAUCUUUUCCUAUUUUCCUCUUAUUGCAAUGAAGAAUUCUCUCUUCAUUUUGUUAUUUUCUGUUUUUUAAACUGAAGGUAAAUCCCUCUGCAAAGAAACAGUUUUGUUAGUCUUGUCUAAUCUGUGAUUAAAACCUUGGGUUAGGAAAACCAGCUCCAUGGAGACCUGUGUGCAGUGGCUAGUUCAAAGGUUACCAAUAAUAAUGCUUACCAGCCAAAGCACUGUAUUGAAAUUAGCAAAUGUGCUUCACAGAUUUCAGCACUGACUUCAUAGCUGUGUUCACUUACUGUUUCCCUGUGGUUUAUCUAGUCAUGUAUCAGAUAUUUUCAGUACUCACUGCACUUUCAAUGAUGCAAGAAAUUUGGACUCAUGAAGUUCGGCUAACAGACAUGCGGCAAGAUCACUUUAUUUUGUAGUGUUGGUAAUGAGCAAUUUAAACUGCUAUACAGAGACAGGGUCUGGUUUGAGCAGGCAAACUCUUGCUUAACAUUCCCAAAUGUCUUUCAGUACUUGGGAGAGGUAGGAAAAUGAGGGCAAAGAACGAAAUGUUGCAUUGUUUUCUGUACAUUUGCACUUAUUCUAGCAAAUGGGCUCCCAGAUCAUCACUAAUGAGUGUGGUUAUUUCUCAUUUCAUAAAUUACUAUGCAGUUUGGUUCACUGUAUUAUCUAUAUUGAGUGAUUGCAAGAUACUUAUGCCACUGAUUUGAAUUCCGUCCAAGAUAAACUGAAGAAGUUAUUUGAAUAAUGCAUAUAUCGGUAUCCUUAACUGCAAAAAUGUAAAUUUGAAACUUGUAUAAUGUUAUUGUGCUUUUGAAAUAAAAUAUCUUGUAUAUGUAUAUUUAAAAGAGGA